UGGGGAAUUUUGCACAAUGGGGGGAACCUUGAUGCAGCGACGCCGCGUGAGGGAUGGAGGCCUUCGGGUUGUGAACCUCUUUCGCUCGUGUGCAAGCCGCUAUUUGGGUAGUGGUGAGUGUAGCGGGUAAAGAAGCGCCGGCUAACUACGUGCCAGCAGCCGCGGUAAUACGUAGGGCGCGAGCGUUGUCCGGAUUUAUUGGGCGUAAAGGGCUUGUAGGCGGUUUGUCGCGCCUGUCGUGUAAUCCUCUGGCUUAACUGGGGGUGUGCGGUGGGUACGGGCAGGCUUGAGUGCGGUAGGGGAGAUUGGAAUUCCUGGUGUAGCGGUGGAAUGCGCAGAUAUCAGGAGGAACACCGGUGGCGAAGGAGGGUCUCUGGGCCGUUACUGACGCUGAGGAGCGAAAGCGUGGGGAGCGAACAGG
RNAcentral lists this ribosomal RNA (421 nucleotides) under bacterium. RNAcentral's name for it is "partial 16S ribosomal RNA". It matches the Rfam family "Bacterial small subunit ribosomal RNA", at positions 355 to 776 of the family's 1533-position model. The record is from RNAcentral.